RNAcentral lists this ribosomal RNA (501 nucleotides) under uncultured bacterium. RNAcentral describes it as "partial 16S ribosomal RNA". It matches the Rfam family "Bacterial small subunit ribosomal RNA", at positions 30 to 523 of the family's 1533-position model. The record is from RNAcentral.
AUUGAACGCUGGCGGCAGGCUUAACACAUGCAAGUCGAGCGGGGAAAGGUAGCUUGCUACUGGACCUAGCGGCGGACGGGUGAGUAAUGCUUAGGAAUCUGCCUAUUAGUGGGGGACAACAUCUCGAAAGGGAUGCUAAUACCGCAUACGUCCUACGGGAGAAAGCAGGGGAUCUUCGGACCUUGCGCUAAUAGAUGAGCUUAAGUCGGAUUAGCUAGUUGGUUGGGUAAAGGCCUACCAAGGCGACGAUCUGUAGCGGGUCUGAGAGGAUGAUCCGCCACACUGGGACUGAGACACGGCCCAGACUCCUACGGGAGGCAGCAGUGGGGAAUAUUGGACAAUGGGGGGAACCCUGAUCCAGCCAUGCCGCGUGUGUGAAGAAGGCCUUAUGGUUGUAAAGCACUUUAAGCGAGGAGGAGGCUACUCUAGUUAAUACCUAGGGAUAGUGGACGUUACUCGCAGAACAAGCACCGGCUAACUCUGUGCCAGCCGCCGCCGUAA